GGCCCUGCGGUGAGCUACGCCGCGUAUCUCACAGACGUGCGCAUACCUACACAGAGACGUAAGACGACUAUGCGCAGCAGCGGCCCCGCCCCCGCCCUCAUGCAUCGCCCUGCCGCUCGUCUGCCGGUGCACUUUCUGGUCGACAUUGACCACACGCUAGUGCAUCCCAUCUACAGGCAUGUAGCGGGCGACAACUCGGACACCACGAGGUGCAGCAGCGCUUCACUGCCGCCAGCGAGUGCGCGGGGGUGGUGGCCGCUGAACUACGUUGGCGGCCGCGUCACUCACGUGCAGCUUCGGCCUCAUGUUGUACCAUUCCUGUCACACGUGCUGCUGGAUCGCUCGCUGGACACCAGCGAGACGCAGGUGCAUGUGUCCCUUUACACGCGUCAGAGCGCCGCCUACUGCGCCGCCAUUGCGUAUCAGGUGCUGCUGCCAGCCCUCGCACAGUCCAAGGGCGAGCCGUUGCACGAGUUUCGCCAUCAGGAAGUCUUUCACGAACUCUUCGGUGGGGAACACUGUGUGCGAGGCAGGUUUGAGGCAAUGCAUUGGCUGAACCCAUCCCCUGGCUUCCUAUCUGAGGGCAGCCCCGCUGAUCAGUGGCAGCUAGGGGAAGCCACAGCAUCCCUCGAGUGGCGCAAGACGAUCUUCGUGUUGCCCAGCCCCCUCACCACGUUGCUCGUCGAUGAUCACUGCGUGAACUUCCGCGUCACGGAACUGAGCACCGGCCAUGGGGUGCUGGUCCCGCCGUACUACGCCGACGCAGUGGCAUGUGCAGCAGAUGAUUGCUUUCGCGUGCCGCCGACUGGCAGCCUCUGCGAUGUCAUCGGCAUGGAUCUUGACAGAAGAGGUGGCUGCAUCUCGAGCGGGCGUGCGAUGCUCGGCCGCGUAGACGUCGACGACGUCGUUGUGCGUUUGCUAGACGUGCUGGAGGCCUUUGUGCAGUGCUGCCACUCCCAUCGCUCUGCCAUCGAGGCGAUGCACGGCGGCUCUGCAGGCAUGCCUAGCCCUGACGAGCGAACACCUUGUGCAGCGUGCAAGUCGGCAGGAACGCCGCGUCCGCCGGUGGAUGCAGCGCUGAGCAACUUCAACUUCUUCGAACGCUCGCCGCUCUACCGACGACAGUGGAACGCGUUCCACGCCCACCGCGCGGACUUCCUGCACAGCUACUUCGCCGGUUGAUGCCCACUUUCUUUGCCUCCACACACACACACACACACCUGCGUAUGAGGGUGCCUCUCUAGUAGCGCUGCUGUGCCGAUUUGUUGUAUGGGGGCGCGUCGCCGUAUGCCACCGCCCUGCGUUGGUCUUUGGGGCAGUGUCGUUGCCGCUGCUUUGCCAUCCGACCCUCUGCUCUUUCCUCUGCUGCACACGUCAGCUUCGCUGUAAGACCUCGAAGAGACGCCGUUCUCGUGUGCCCUGCAUCACUGGAAACGCAUCAACUCGUCUACAGGGCACACCUCAGGUAGACGUCUUUACGCGCUCGUUGUCCGCACGUCGAUUGUCUUCUUCCUGUGCCUCGACUCUCCCUUUCUUGCCCCUUCUCUCGCAG
This 1552-nucleotide unclassified non-coding RNA is filed under the name Leishmania donovani. RNAcentral's name for it is "gene:LdHU3.15.1690(CDS-product:hypothetical_prote in)". Lineage: Eukaryota; Euglenozoa; Kinetoplastea; Trypanosomatida; Trypanosomatidae. The record is from RNAcentral.